CGGGGGGGUGCUAUAAUGCAGUCGAGCGCGGGAAGCGAGUGGAUCCCUUCGGGGUGAAGCUCGUGGAACGAGCGGCGGACGGGUGAGUAACACGUGGGCAACCUGCCUGUAAGAUCGGAAUAACCCCGGGAAACCGGGGCUAAUGCCGGGUAAUACUUUCUUUCGCAUGAAGGAAAGUUGAAAGAUGGCUUCUCGCUAUCACUUACAGAUGGGCCCGCGGCGCAUUAGCUAGUUGGUGAGGUAACGGCUCACCAAGGCGACGAUGCGUAGCCGACCUGAGAGGGUGAUCGGCCACACUGGGACUGAGACACGGCCCAGACUCCUACGGGAGGCAGCAGUAGGGAAUCUUCCGCAAUGGACGAAAGUCUGACGGAGCAACGCCGCGUGAACGAUGAAGGUCUUCGGAUCGUAAAGUUCUGUUGUUAGGGAAGAACAAGUACCGUGCGAAUAGAGCGGUACCUUGACGGUACCUAACGAGGAAGCCCCGGCUAACUACGUGCCAGCAGCCGCGGUAAUACGUAGGGGGCAAGCGUUGUCCGGAAUUAUUGGGCGUAAAGCGCGCGCAGGCGGUUCCUUAAGUCUGAUGUGAAAGCCCACGGCUCAACCGUGGAGGGUCAUUGGAAACUGGGGAACUUGAGGACAGAAGAGGAGAGUGGAAUUCCACGUGUAGCGGUGAAAUGCGUAGAUAUGUGGAGGAACACCAGUGGCGAAGGCGACUCUCUGGUCUGUUUCUGACGCUGAGGUGCGAAAGCGUGGGUAGCAAACAGGAUUAGAUACCCUGGUAGUCCACGCCGUAAACG
This 800-nucleotide ribosomal RNA is filed under the name Halobacillus sp. JSM 101064. RNAcentral's name for it is "bacterial SSU rRNA". It matches the Rfam family "Bacterial small subunit ribosomal RNA", at positions 37 to 808 of the family's 1533-position model. Lineage: Bacteria; Bacillati; Bacillota; Bacilli; Caryophanales; Bacillaceae. The record is from RNAcentral.